This 455-nucleotide ribosomal RNA is filed under the name uncultured bacterium. Its description in RNAcentral is "bacterial SSU rRNA". It matches the Rfam family "Bacterial small subunit ribosomal RNA", at positions 340 to 786 of the family's 1533-position model. The record is from RNAcentral.
UACGGGAGGCAGCAGUGGGGAAUAUUGCACAAUGGGCGCAAGCCUGAUGCAGCCAUGCCGCGUGUAUGAAAAAGGCCUUCGGGUUGUAAAGUACUUUCAGUCGUGAGGAAGGUGUUAAGGUUAAUAACCUUAGCAAUUGACGUUAGCGACAGAAGAAGCACCGGCUAACUCCGUGCCAGCAGCCGCGGUAAUACGGAGGGUGCGAGCGUUAAUCGGAAUUACUGGGCGUAAAGCGUGCGCAGGCGGUUUUUGUAAGACAGAGGUGAAAUCCCCGGGCUCAACCUGGGAACUGCCUUUGUGACUGCAAGGCUGGAGUGCGGCAGAGGGGGAUGGAAUUCCGCGUGUAGCAGUGAAUGCGUAGAUAUGCGGAGGAACACCGAUGGCGAAGGCAAUCCCUGGGGCCUGCACUGACGCUCAUGCACGAAAGCGUGGGGAGCAAACAGGAAUUAGAUACC